Molecule: ribosomal RNA, 433 nt
Filed under: uncultured bacterium
Lineage: Bacteria
Description: partial 16S ribosomal RNA
Rfam family: Bacterial small subunit ribosomal RNA
Source: RNAcentral
AACGAACGCUGGCGGCAUGCCUAACACAUGCAAGUCGAACGAGACCUUCGGGUCUAGUGGCGCACGGGUGCGUAACGCGUGGGAACCUGCCCUUAGGUUCGGAAUAACUUCCCGAAAGGGGUGCUAAUACCGGCUAAUGUCUUCGGACCAAAGAUUUAUCGCCUUUGGAUGGGCCCGCGUUGGAUUAGCUAGUUGGUAGGGUAAAAGCCUACCAAGGCGACGAUCCAUAGCUGGUCUGAGAGGAUGAUCAGCCACACUGGGACUGAGACACGGCCCAGACUCCUACGGGAGGCAGCAGUGGGGAAUAUUGGACAGUGGGCGAAAGCCUGAUCCAGCAAUGCCGCGUGAGUGAUGAAGGCCUUAGGGUUGUAAAGCUCUUUUACCCGGGAUGAUAAUGACAGUACCGGGAGAAUAAGCUCCGGCUAACUCCGUG